CCCUUAGAUGUUCUGGGCCGCACGCGCGCUACACUGAUGCACUCAACGAGUCUCCACCUUGACCGAGAGGUCCGGGAAACCUUCGAACUUGCAUCGUGAUGGGGAUAGAUUAUUGCAACUAUUAAUCUUCAACGAGGAAUACCUAGUAGGCGCAUGUCAUCAGCGUGCGUCGAUUACGUCCCUGCCCUUUGUACACACCGCCCGUCGCUCCUACCGAUUGAAUGGUCCGGUGAAAUCUCGGGACGGCGGCUUGGUCGCUUGCGUCCGACUGCUGAAACUUGAUUAAACCAUAUCAUUUAGAGGAAGGUGAAGUCGUAACA
RNAcentral lists this ribosomal RNA (320 nucleotides) under uncultured eukaryote. Its description in RNAcentral is "partial 18S ribosomal RNA". It matches the Rfam family "Eukaryotic small subunit ribosomal RNA", at positions 1470 to 1796 of the family's 1831-position model. The record is from RNAcentral.